RNAcentral lists this transfer RNA (73 nucleotides) under Actinomycetota bacterium. RNAcentral's name for it is "Actinobacteria bacterium tRNA-Lys". It matches the Rfam family "tRNA". From Rfam's summary of the family: Transfer RNA (tRNA) molecules are approximately 80 nucleotides in length. Their secondary structure includes four short double-helical elements and three loops (D, anti-codon, and T loops). The record is from RNAcentral. Lineage: Bacteria; Bacillati; Actinomycetota.
GGGCCGGUAGCUCAGUUGGCAGAGCAGGGGACUUUUAAUCCCAAGGUCGUAGGUUCGAGCCCUACCCGGCCCA